UACGUAGGGUGCAAGCGUUAAUCGGAAUUACUGGGCGUAAAGCGUGCGCAGGCGGUGACGUAAGACAGAUGUGAAAUCCCCGGGCUCAACCUGGGAACUGCAUUUGUGACUGCAUCGCUGGAGUCCGGAAGAGGCGAGUGGAAUUCCUGGUGUAGCGGUGGAAUGCGUAGAGAUCCGGAAGAACACCGGUGGCGAAGGCGGUCUGCUGGGGUAAUGCUGACACUGAUGCGCGACAGCGUGGGGAGCAAACAGG
Molecule: ribosomal RNA, 253 nt
Filed under: uncultured bacterium
Lineage: Bacteria
Description: partial 16S ribosomal RNA
Rfam family: Bacterial small subunit ribosomal RNA
Source: RNAcentral